This 440-nucleotide ribosomal RNA is filed under the name uncultured bacterium. Its description in RNAcentral is "partial 16S ribosomal RNA". It matches the Rfam family "Bacterial small subunit ribosomal RNA", at positions 338 to 795 of the family's 1533-position model. The record is from RNAcentral.
CCUACGGGUGGCAGCAGUGGGGGAUAUUGCACAAUGGGGGGAACCCUGAUGCAGCGACGCCGCGUGGGCGAUGGAGUGCUUCGGCAUGUAAAGCCCUAUCAGCAGGGAAGAAAAUGACGGUACCUGACUAAGAAGCACCGGCUAAAUACGUGCCAGCAGCCGCGGCAAUACGUAGGGGGCAAGCGUUAUCCGGAUUUACUGGGCGUAAGGGGGGCGUAGGCGGCCUGGCAAGGCUGAUGGGAAAUACUGGGGCCCAACCCCGGGGCUGCAUUGGGAACUGCCAGGCUGGAGUGCCGGAGAGGCAGGCGGAAUUCCUGGUGUAGCGGUGAAAUGCGUAGAGAUUAGGAGGAACACCAGUGGCGAAGGCGGCCUGCUGGACGGUGACUGACGCUGAGGCUCGAAAGCGUGGGGAGCAAACAGGAUUAGAUACCCUUGUAGUC